Molecule: microRNA precursor, 193 nt
Filed under: Oryza barthii
Lineage: Eukaryota; Viridiplantae; Streptophyta; Magnoliopsida; Poales; Poaceae
Description: MIR812 microRNA precursor family
Rfam family: MIR812 microRNA precursor family
Source: Rfam by way of RNAcentral
AAAAAGACAAACCCUGGUUUUCGUAUCCAACGUUUGAUUGUCCGUCUUAUAUGAAUUUUUUUAUAAUUGGUAUUUUUAUUGUUGUUAGAUGAUAAAACAUGAUUAAUAAUUUAUGUGUGACUUGUCUUUUUAAUUUUUUCAAGUAAGACGGACAGUCAAACGUUGGACACGGAAAUUUAGAGUUUGUCUUUUU